RNAcentral lists this ribosomal RNA (491 nucleotides) under uncultured bacterium. RNAcentral's name for it is "partial 16S ribosomal RNA". It matches the Rfam family "Bacterial small subunit ribosomal RNA", at positions 29 to 507 of the family's 1533-position model. The record is from RNAcentral.
GUGAACGCUGGCGGUAGGCCUAACACAUGCAAGUCGAACGGCAGCACAGUAAGAGCUUGCUCUUACGGGUGGCGAGUGGCGGACGGGUGAGGAAUACAUCGGACUCUACUUUUUCGUGGGGGAUAACGUAGGGAAACUUACGCUAAUACCGCAUACGACCUACCGGUGAAAGCAGGGGAUCUUCGGACCUUGCGCGAUUGCAUGAGCCGAUGUCGGAUUAGCUAGUUGGCGGGGUAAAGGCCCACCAAGGCGACGAUCCGUAGCUGGUCUGAGAGGAUGAUCAGCCACACUGGAACUGAGACACGGUCCAGACUCCUACGGGAGGCAGCAGUGGGGAAUAUUGGACAAUGGGCGCAAGCCUGAUCCAGCCAUACCGCGUGGGUGAAGAAGGCCUUCGGGUUGUAAAGCCCUUUUGUUGGGAAAGAAAAGCAGCAGGUUAAUACCCCGCUGUUCUGACGGUACCCAAAGAAUAAGCACCGGCUAACUUCGUG